Non-coding RNA from Musa acuminata subsp. malaccensis (wild Malaysian banana), 1715 nucleotides. Lineage: Eukaryota; Viridiplantae; Streptophyta; Magnoliopsida; Zingiberales; Musaceae. The record is from RefSeq and is a predicted model, not a curated record.
CCACUGCUCUCGUUUUGCCCGAUCUUGCAUCUGAUGCUUUGGUGUAUAGAAAUCUUGCUGUUGCACUGAGAACAGCCCCUUAAAAUGGCCGUGGUGGGAGCAAUGUCUGCCCUGAUAACGACCCUGUGGUGGCCACCAUUGUAGCGCCACCAGCCAUUUGAUGAUGCCCAUCGUCGCCCUCAGAGACAAGCUGUCGUUGCUCAUAGCUCCUCAGCAUCGUUUGCUCUGUCACCUGCAAUCCGCUGCGCCGCUGCCGUGUUACGUUGAUGUUCGCCAGUCAAGAUCUGCUGUUGCGCCAGACCCGAACUCAUCGUAGUCGCCAGCGGCAGUGCAGUCGACGGAGACUCCCCAGCUUGGAGCUGUUGGUGGUGGUCGGUGACGGGAGGAUCGAGGAGUGUGGUGCCGGCUGCAGGUUCGCAGUGGCGGUGGCAUCAUUCCCUUUUCUCAGACGGUAAUUGCCUGGAAACUUCAGAAGGCAGCCCUACAGCAUGUGACUCAUGGGAGUGUGGGCUCCGCCGUCAGGUUCUUGCUACGGGUACCACCUCAUCGGUCAUGUAUUCGGGUACGUGUCGCUGAAUUCUUCUUAGUUUAACAUCGUAAGAGGGAUCCAAAACCCUUCUUUUUUGUGUUUGUGAUUUCGUGAGAUCUCUUCGAGCCUUCUCCGCUGGCCGUCAGCGGAUGCUCCGCCGAUCGCACAGGGUGGGGCCGCGCAGCUUCACUGGGACGUGAUCGACCCCGUGACGAGAUGUCGCGGUGAAGGGGCAUUCCACCCAUUCGAAUCGUUCGUCUUUCCGUCUCUCCUGCUUGAGUAGAUGCAGUGGACAAUGAAGAGGACUACAGAGACCACCUCACUUGUGGUAGGUAUUCUUUGCAAAUCCUUACCUUACGAACGGCAAGGUUAAUAAGCAAGGGAAGCUACAUUCAGAUUUACAGAUUUUCAGACGCAAGAAUCCCCACGAGUUCCUGUGACUGAGUUCGGAUGACCCUCCUUUGAUAAGAAGGCAGCUGCUACUGUAUGAUUGGAGUAUGAUGAUAUUUGGAUCAGUCUAGGUCGUCACUCAAAGGUGCAUGAAUGAAAAAUGAAGGCUCUCUUGUGAAGUUGCUACUAUCAAGUGAAUGAUUGAUUAAGGAACUCAUUUAGGGUCGAACUGAAGAUUGUGAUUGCUGAUGUUCCUAAUACAAUGGAAGGGUUUUGAUCACCUUGCUGAAGUCCAAGAUAGUAUUGGAAGCAUUAACAAGGACCAAGUGUUGAAGGCUCAUGAAAGUGAAAUUAUUAAAGAAAAUGAGAGGUUCUUUGCCUUAAUUACUGGUAAUAUAGAAGGAGGUAUCUUCUGAAAUGUAAUAAUCUCAUUUCUCAGUACCAUGUGGCUACAAGCAGAAGGUGGAGUGAACAAAGUGGACAUAUCAGCCAAUGUAGUGCUUUCCUCUGGUUGAAUAGCAUACUUCUGGGGAUAAUUAUAGAGAAUCUGGAGUUCAGCAAUUACUAAAGCUGACACAUAGGUUUAAACUUCACCGUCUGAUCAGAGAUGAUGUACAACAACAGCUUUAUGCGAACCCCAUGCAACCAUGUCUUGUGUGGUGAAAUUAGAAAGUACCAGAAGUAGCAUUGAUUCUGCAGAACUUCUGCACUGGCUAGCGGAUGAAAUAAUCCACUAUUGGUACUGCUCAUAGAGACAGGCCUUCAGAAUUUUUACCAGAUGGUGAAUGAAAUAUUA